CGUGCCUAAUACAUGCAGUCGAGCGGACAGAAGGGAGCUUGCUCCCGGAUGUUAGCGGCGGACGGGUGAGUAACACGUGGGUAACCUGCCUGUAAGACUGGGAUAACUCCGGGAAACCGGAGCUAAUACCGGAUAGUUCCUUGAACCGCAUGGUUCAAGGAUGAAAGACGGUUUCGGCUGUCACUUACAGAUGGACCCGCGGCGCAUUAGCUAGUUGGUGAGGUAACGGCUCACCAAGGCGACGAUGCGUAGCCGACCUGAGAGGGUGAUCGGCCACACUGGGACUGAGACACGGCCCAGACUCCUACGGGAGGCAGCAGUAGGGAAUCUUCCGCAAUGGACGAAAGUCUGACGGAGCAACGCCGCGUGAGUGAUGAAGGUUUUCGGAUCGUAAAGCUCUGUUGUUAGGGAAGAACAAGUGCAAGAGUAACUGCUUGCACCUUGACGGUACCUAACCAGAAAGCCACGGCUAACUACGUGCCAGCAGCCGCGGUAAUACGUAGGUGGCAAGCGUUGUCCGGAAUUAUUGGGCGUAAAGGGCUCGCAGGCGGUUUCUUAAGUCUGAUGUGAAAGCCCCCGGCUCAACCGGGGAGGGUCAUUGGAAACUGGGAAACUUGAGUGCAGAAGAGGAGAGUGGAAUUCCACGUGUAGCGGUGAAAUGCGUAGAGAUGUGGAGGAACACCAGUGGCGAAGGCGACUCUCUGGUCUGUAACUGACGCUGAGGAGCGAAAGCGUGGGGAGCGAACAGGAUUAGAUACCCUGGUAGUCCACGCCGUAAACGAUGAGUGCUAAGUGUUAGGGGGUUUCCGCCCCUUAGUGCUGCAGCUAACGCAUUAAGCACUCCGCCUGGGGAGUACGGUCGCAAGACUGAAACUCAAAGGAAUUGACGGGGGCCCGCACAAGCGGUGGAGCAUGUGGUUUAAUUCGAAGCAACGCGAAGAACCUUACCAGGUCUUGACAUCCUCUGACAACCCUAGAGAUAGGGCUUUCCCUUCGGGGACAGAGUGACAGGUGGUGCAUGGUUGUCGUCAGCUCGUGUCGUGAGAUGUUGGGUUAAGUCCCGCAACGAGCGCAACCCUUGAUCUUAGUUGCCAGCAUUCAGUUGGGCACUCUAAGGUGACUGCCGGUGACAAACCGGAGGAAGGUGGGGAUGACGUCAAAUCAUCAUGCCCCUUAUGACCUGGGCUACACACGUGCUUCAAUGGACAGAACAAA
RNAcentral lists this ribosomal RNA (1215 nucleotides) under Bacillus altitudinis. RNAcentral's name for it is "bacterial SSU rRNA". It matches the Rfam family "Bacterial small subunit ribosomal RNA", at positions 43 to 1243 of the family's 1533-position model. The record is from RNAcentral. Lineage: Bacteria; Bacillati; Bacillota; Bacilli; Caryophanales; Bacillaceae. RNAcentral also lists the same sequence under 1 other name.